This 85-nucleotide transfer RNA is filed under the name Eubacteriales bacterium. RNAcentral's name for it is "tRNA-Leu". It matches the Rfam family "tRNA". From Rfam's summary of the family: Transfer RNA (tRNA) molecules are approximately 80 nucleotides in length. Their secondary structure includes four short double-helical elements and three loops (D, anti-codon, and T loops). Lineage: Bacteria; Bacillati; Bacillota; Clostridia; Eubacteriales. The record is from RNAcentral.
GGCGAAUUGGUGGAACUGGAAGACACAGUGGACUUAAAAUUCACUGGCUUAUGCCGUGCCGGUUCGAGUCCGGCAUUCGCCACCA